CCAUGGAGGGGGGCGCCCCCCUGGGGACGCUGCAGGCGGAGCUGGGGACGCUGCAGGAGGAGCUGGGCGCGCUGCAGGCCGACCACGUGGCCCAAUGGGGGCAGAUGGAGCGCGAUUUGGCCUCGGCCAGAGCCCAGGCGGCCACCGCCACCGGCAGAGCCGCAGCCCUGCAGGAGCAGCUGGACGCCUGGCAGACCCGCCUGGACGCCAUCAGGGCUGAGGUGGCCACGUGGCACCACGAGGUGGCCGCGCUGAGGGGAGAGGUGGCCACAGUGACACGAGAGGUGGCCACGUGGCACAAGGAGGUGGCCAUGCUGAGGGGAGAGGUGGCAGAGGUGGCCGCAGUGACACGAGAGGUGGCCACGUGGCACAAGGAGGUGGCCACGGUACAGGACAGGGUGGCCACGUGGCAGCAGGAGGUGGCCUUGGUGAGAAGAGAGGUGGCAGAGGUGGCCACAGUGACACGAGAGGUGGCCACGUGGCAGCAGGAGGUGGCCAUGCUGAGGGGAGAGGUGACAGAGGUGGCCACGGUGAGGGGAGAGGUGGCCACGUGGCACAAGGAGGUGGCCAUGGUGAGAAGAGAGGUGGCCACGGUGCAGGACCAGGUGGCCAUGUGGCAGCAGGAGGUGGCCACAUGGCACAAGGAGGUGGCCAUGCUGAGGGGAGAGGUGACAGACGUGGCCGCAGUGACACAAGAGGUGGCCACGUGGCACCAGGAGGUGGCCUUGGUGAGAAGAGAGGUGGCAGAGGUGGCCACAUGGC
RNAcentral lists this long non-coding RNA (762 nucleotides) under Gallus gallus (chicken). RNAcentral's name for it is "coiled-coil domain containing 70 (CCDC70)". The record is from RNAcentral. Lineage: Eukaryota; Metazoa; Chordata; Aves; Galliformes; Phasianidae.